This 468-nucleotide ribosomal RNA is filed under the name uncultured bacterium. RNAcentral's name for it is "partial 16S ribosomal RNA". It matches the Rfam family "Bacterial small subunit ribosomal RNA", at positions 28 to 507 of the family's 1533-position model. The record is from RNAcentral.
GACGAACGCUGGCGGCGCGCUUAACACAUGCAAGUCGAACGGAAAGGCCCUGCUUUUGUGGGGUGCUCGAGUGGCGAACGGGUGAGUAACACGAGAGUAACCUGCCCUUGACUUUGGGAUAACUCCAGGAAACUGGGGCUAAUACCGGACAGGAGCCCCUGCUGCACGGUGGGGGUUGGAAAGUUUCGGCGGCUGGGGAUGGACUCGCGGCUCAUCAGCUUGUUGGUGGGGCAGUGGCCUACCAAGGCUUUGACGGGUAGCCGGCCUGAGAGGGUGACCGGCCCCAUUGGGACUGGGGUACGGCCCAGGCUCCUACGGGAGGCAGCAGUGGGGAGUAUUGCACAAUGGGCGGAAGCCUGAUGCAGCAACGCCGCGUGCGGGAUGACGGCCUUCGGGUUGUAAACCGCUUUCGCCUGUGACGAAGCGUGAGUGCCGGUAAUGGGUACAGAAGCACCGGCUAACUACGUG